Molecule: ribosomal RNA, 1581 nt
Filed under: metagenome
Description: bacterial LSU rRNA
Rfam family: Bacterial large subunit ribosomal RNA
Source: RNAcentral
UAGAUCCUGAAACCGCAUGCAUACAAACAGUGGGAGCCUCCUUGUGGGGUGACUGCGUACCUUUUGUAUAAUGGGUCAGCGACUUACGUUGUGUUGCGAGCUUAACCGAAUAGGGGAGGCGUAGCGAAAGCGAGUCCGAAUAGGGCGUUUAGUAGCACGGCGUAGACCCGAAACCGGAUGAUCUAUCCAUGGCCAGGAUGAAGGUGCCGUAACAGGUACUGGAGGUCCGAACCCACUAAUUUGAAAAAUUAGGGGAUGAGCUGUGGAUAGGGGUGAAAGGCUAAACAAAUCCGGAAAUAGCUGGUUCUCCCCAAAAAACUAUUUAGGUAGUGCGUCAUGUAUCACUUGCGGGGGUAAAGCACUGUUAUGGCUAGGGGGUCAUCGCGACUUACCAAACCAUGGCAAACUCUGAAUACCGCAAAGUGCGAGCAUGGCAGACAGACAGUGGGUGCUAACGUCCAUUGUCAAGAGGGAAACAACCCAGACCGCCAGCUAAGGUCCCCUAGACACAGUUAAGUGGGAAACGAAGUGGGAAGGCAUAGACAGCUAGGAGGUUGGCUUAGGAGCAGCCAUCCUUUAAAGAAAGCGUAAUAGCUCACUAGUCGAGUCGUCCUGCGCGGAAGAUGUAACGGGGCUCAAACUGUGCACCGAAGCUGCGGAUAUCGAAAGAUAUGGUAGGGGAGCGUUCUGUAGGUCUGUGAAGGUGUCUUGUAAAGGAUGCUGGAGAUAUCAGAAGUGCGAAUGCUGACAUGAGUAGCGAUAAAGGGCGUGAGAAGCGCCCUCGCCGAAAGCCCAAGGUUUCCUACGCAACGUUCAUCGGCGUAGGGUGAGUCGGCUCCUAAGGCGAGGCAGAAAUGCGUAGUCGAUGGGAAACAGGUCAAUAUUCCUGUACCGAUUCUAGAUGCGAUGUGGGGACGGAGAAGGUUAGGUCAGCCGGGUGUUGGACGUCCCGGUUUAAGCGUGUAGGCGUGCCCCUUAGGCAAAUCCGGGGGGCUGAGCUGAGGCGUGAUGACGAGGAACCACGGUUCCGAAGUGAUUGAUACCAAGCUUCCAGGAAAAGCCACUAAGCUUCAGUCUAGAGUUGACCGUACCGCAAACCGACACAGGUGGGCAGGAUGAAAAUUCUAAGGCGCUUGAGAGAACUCAGGAGAAGGAACUCGGCAAAUUAACACCGUAACUUCGGGAGAAGGUGUGCCCCGGUAGCGUGUAGAGACUUGCUCUCGAAGCGCGAUGGGGUUGCAGUGAAAUGGUGGCUGCGACUGUUUAAUAAAAACACAGCACUCUGCAAACACGAAAGUGGACGUAUAGGGUGUGACGCCUGCCCGGUGCCGGAAGGUUAAGUGAUGGGGUGCAAGCUCUUGAUCGAAGCCCCGGUAAACGGCGGCCGUAACGAUAACGGUCCUAAGGUAGCGAAAUUCCUUGUCGGGUAAGUUCCGACCUGCGCGAAUGGCGUAACGAUGGCCACACUGUCUCCUCCUGGGACUCAGCGAAGUUGAAAUGUUUGUGAAGAUGCAAUCUACCCGCGGCUAGACGGAAAGACCCCAUGAACCUUUACUGUAGCUUUGCAUUGGACUUUGAACC